UUUAUAUUAACUACUAAAUAAUGUAAUAUUUCCUGACCUUGAUAUCAUAUUUACUCACAUACCAUAUCACAUGCAGCUUUUUUCCCAAAUCAGCUCCCCCCUCCCCCACCCCAAAAAAAUUGCAUAUCUUAUUUUGAUGAUUUUACUUUUCUGAAAUAGAAGCAGGGUGGCACUGAAGCAAGCGUGAUUCAUGGCAGCUAAGAUGGCUCCUGCUUCUCUGUGGCCCGAAAAGCAGAAGGGGUAAAGUCCAGUGUUAACAGCCUGAGUGAGCACUGUGAACUGGUUCAGGGCCUGUGAGCUCCUGUAUACAGUCUGCAGUAUCUCUAUGAGGCUUGUGGUGUAGAAACAACACUUCAUUAUUUACGGAACUUACAUAAAGAACUAUUUACACUAAAUAAAUAAUAGUCUUGUUACUGUCUUUGCAAGGGCCUGUUGCCUACCUGUCAUUGUCUUGCCACACCUGGAAUUUCCUGCUGCCUCACUCAGACUGCCUCUUGGAAUGCCACAUUUUUGGACACUUUUUUCAGGAGGAUUUACUUUGUAUCACACAGUUGACUAUGACUCUGGAAAAAUCUUUUUUUUCUAUAGUCUGCCUUCCAAAAUCAAGGUGCACGUUUUAUUUGUGGGAGUGUGGUAUGAAAGAAAAUACAGUAUCUAGCUGGUAUGAAACUGUAGCCAUGUACUUAAGUCUUUGCUGAUAGGACUAUUUUUUAAUUCUCUGAAUUAUUAAUUUAGUCCAUCAUAAAAAGCUAAGAUACUAAGAGGAAGAUUCUGCUUCCAUUACAUCCCAUGACAGCCAAAAGCUGCUGCCAAUGUAGCAUCAGCUGUGACAGGUUUAAAGCUUAAACUGUAAGGAGAGAGUGAGUGAUGCUGAAAAGACUCUGUUCCUGCUCCAUGAGGCUUGCACUUAGUCUUGACUCUAGAAAAAUCUUUUUCUUCAUUCUGCCUUUCCAAAACAAGAUGUUCUGUCUGUAUGUUGGGUAUUUUCCCCUUUGGAGCAGCAGCAAGACUAGUUCAGCUGAAGAGAAAAGCUCUCGGCGAGGCGACUCAGAAAGUGACCCCGCAGGAGAUCCAGGAGUCCCGGGGCUGUGGCAGCGGGCUCCGAACGUUGAGACACUGGCCAUUGUGACGUCUGCACCCGGCUCUUUUGUUCUUCCGUAACGAGCUGCGCGCCUCCUCCCUAAACCUGCAUGGACCUUUCUGAUCGCUUCCCCUGCUGCUUAAGAAAAGUGUGGUGGGGGGGACCCCACAACCCCAAGUGCUGGAUUCACUACACACGCUUUACACAAGCUGGCCACAGAGAGGACACACAUUUGGGGGAAGAGGGGAGAUGACUGGGGAUGGUCCCUUCCCGUCCUUGAAGUCUGUAGUGUUCUUCUACUGCCCAACUAUCAACACACGUCUUGUGCUAAAAGGCUAGGGUCUCAAUCCCUCUCCCUUCCACAGAGUGGUAAGAUAACUGGGCGACGGAGGUGUAUUUUUUAAGACAUCACGAGCAAGACUGUGCAGUCAGUCGCUGAUCUUUUCUUCUUCUUUGGUUCCCCUGCACUUGCUUUGUCUCUCAUGGAGAGCUUGAAACUUUCUGAACUGCGCUCGGCAUUAGUUACCUUUUUCUAGUGGCAUCCUGUUCUUGAAAGCGAUCUCGUUAGUUUAGAAAUAUACUUUUAGCUUUGCAAUGGGGACCCCCCUGGUGAUGGGUCCCGCUUCCCCGCCCCCUCUUUGCUACAUAUUAGUGCGAUUUCUAUCAUUUCAGAUGGCCAAGCAAAUGCCAGGCUACAACUUAUGCUCAAAUGGGUCUCGUCGUACUAAGAAUUGAAUCGAGAGUCCGGGGCAGCCGCCACACAGCAAGGAUGAAAGGAAUGGAAACAAUCUGAACUAUUUUCAAAGUCAUUUAGAGACCUCUGUUUGUAUUUUUAAUGCAAUAUAGGGAAUGAGGGAAAACCACUUUGAACAGGUUUGAAUGGGCGGGAUAAUAGCUUAAUUAAAUCACCGUUGGACCGUAGAAAAUAAAUGCCUCCUGUCCUUGUCUUUUAAAGAAGGAAAGGGGGAUUGCUACCCUCCUUGGCGAGCACAUAUAUCCAAAUGUAAGGGUUACAUUUAAACUCCUCUCUCGUCCACACACUAAUAAUAACCAGAAAGGAUGAUGGGGGGUAUUAUUUAUUACUGUGGUUGAUUUACUAAGGACAGCGAAUAUAAUCCCACGUGGGAUACAAGGGUGAGUGUGGGACAGACCCAAA
This is a long non-coding RNA of Gavialis gangeticus (Gharial), 2237 nucleotides long. RefSeq lists it as uncharacterized. The transcript is spliced from 3 exons. The record is from RefSeq and is a predicted model, not a curated record. Lineage: Eukaryota; Metazoa; Chordata; Crocodylia; Gavialidae.